This 433-nucleotide ribosomal RNA is filed under the name uncultured bacterium. Its description in RNAcentral is "partial 16S ribosomal RNA". It matches the Rfam family "Bacterial small subunit ribosomal RNA", at positions 29 to 507 of the family's 1533-position model. The record is from RNAcentral.
AACGAACGCUGGCGGCAGGCCUAACACAUGCAAGUCGAGCGGACCCUUCGGGGUUAGCGGCGGACGGGUGAGUAACGCGUGGGAAUAUGCCCUUCUCUACGGAAUAGUCCUGGGAAACUGGGGGUAAUACCGUAUACGCCCUUUGGGGGAAAGAUUUAUCGGGGAAGGAUUAGCCCGCGUUGGAUUAGGUAGUUGGUGGGGUAAUGGCCUACCAAGCCGACGAUCCAUAGCUGGUUUGAGAGGAUGAUCAGCCACACUGGGACUGAGACACGGCCCAGACUCCUACGGGAGGCAGCAGUGGGGAGUCUUAGACAACGGGGGCAACCCUGAUCUAGCCAUGCCGCGUGAGUGAUGAAGGCCUUAGGGUUGUAAAGCUCUUUCAGCUGGGAAGAUAAUGACGGUACCAGCAGAAGAAGCCCCGGCUAACUCCGUG